GAACUUUUGAUACCUUUUCUGAAAUUCUCCAGUCAAUAAAUCUUUCACAAAAUUCAUUGAUUACAAAAAAAAGAAGAUGUGGUAUGAUUGCCAUAUUGAGACAACUCUCCACAAGAGACCGAUAUGACACAGAAAUUAACAACUAUAGGUCACCGUACGACCUUCAACAACGAGCAAAGCCCAUACCGCAUACUCAGCUUUAAAAGACCCCG
Molecule: long non-coding RNA, 212 nt
Filed under: Mytilus galloprovincialis (Mediterranean mussel)
Lineage: Eukaryota; Metazoa; Mollusca; Bivalvia; Mytilida; Mytilidae
Source: RNAcentral